This 293-nucleotide antisense RNA is filed under the name Pseudomonas saudiphocaensis. RNAcentral's name for it is "anti ponA RNA". It matches the Rfam family "anti ponA RNA". From Rfam's summary of the family: Transcribed antisense to the penicillin-binding protein 1A gene called ponA. It was identified by RNAseq and the expression was validated by 5' and 3' RACE experiments. AsponA expression was up or down regulated under different antibiotic stress. Lineage: Bacteria; Pseudomonadati; Pseudomonadota; Gammaproteobacteria; Pseudomonadales; Pseudomonadaceae. The record is from Rfam by way of RNAcentral.
GAAGUUGUCGUCCUCGGCAGCCAGCAGUGCAUUAAUGAAAUCCCUGGGGAUUUGAUUGAAGGCAAUGGGUGAGCGGCGCAUUUCGCCAUACUCGGCAAUCAGUUUUUCAUCGCUGCUGUAGAUACGCAGCGGUAUCUGCAACUGUAUGCUGCGUAGCGAAUCGACCGAAGGCAGGUUGGGGCUGAGGUAGAGAAAGGCGCCGCUGAGACUCAGCAAAAGUCCGCAGAAAAUAGCCAGGCACGACCAGAGGAAAAACUUCAGGAAACGCAUCGGGGUUCGUUGAAUCCAGGAUG